ACCGACCCCUCGCGUGGCGGCAUCUCGCUGAAUUCCCCCAGGGCCGGAAGGCAGCAAGGGCAGGCGGGCUCUGCUGGGUACGCGAGGGGUCCUGCGC
Molecule: signal recognition particle RNA, 97 nt
Filed under: Bifidobacteriaceae bacterium
Lineage: Bacteria; Bacillati; Actinomycetota; Actinomycetes; Bifidobacteriales; Bifidobacteriaceae
Description: signal recognition particle sRNA small type
Rfam family: Bacterial small signal recognition particle RNA
About the family: The signal recognition particle (SRP) is a universally conserved ribonucleoprotein involved in the co-translational targeting of proteins to membranes.
Source: RNAcentral